AUUUGUCUAAGCAUUGUAAUUUGGUUAUUUUAUUGUUUGAUAAAAUUAAAUUUCUGAGAUUUAUCAAAUUGUCAAGUCCUUUGAUAGAUCUUAUACAAUUAUCGGACAAGUUGAUCUCUGCGAGGUUGGUCAAAUUGUCAAGGUUGUUUAUUUCAGCUAGGUCUAUGUUGUAAGUAAGAUCUAAUUUAACGAGUUUAGAUAAAUUGUCAAGGUUUUUAAUCUCACUUAAAAUAUUGAAUGAUAAAUCCAAAUACUGUAUAUUUGGUGGUAAUUUUUUG
This is a non-coding RNA of Cinara cedri, 278 nucleotides long. The record is from the annotation of a GenBank genome assembly. Lineage: Eukaryota; Metazoa; Arthropoda; Insecta; Hemiptera; Aphididae.